GCUUGAUCUAGGGAUGAACGAAUGAUGAACGAUGAACACUUUCUUCAAGGGCCGUCGGGGCUUGAUCUUGAAUCAGUGGAAGUUCUUCAAGGGCCGUUGGGGCUUGAUCUUGAAUGAGGAUUUGACGAAGAACGAAGAGAGCUCUCUUGAUCCUUCGGGAUUUGCUUGGGAGCUUUUGAGUUUCAAAGCUUCAAGGUUUUGAUAUGAAGUGAAUUGGUUAUGAAUUGGUGUCCUUCAAAUGAAUGCCUUGGCCUUCUAUUUAUAGGAUUCCAAAACUUGAUUUUUUUGGAUUUAAAUAAUUAGAUGGAAUAAAUCAUCUCUGCCAGGUGUUGACACGUGUCCUGUUUGAUGACUUUUCCGAUUUAUUUUGAUUUUUCGUUUAGUCACAUGCUAUGUGUAAAAUUUAUGUGACACAUAAACAUUGAAAUUUUAAUUUUUGAUCAACAUUUAUUUUACCGAAAUUUCGAUGUCUACAUUGAUCAUAUCAAAUUACAACCAAAAACUAAUCUACACAUUCCCAUGGUUCAAACAAAUUUGAGAGACGGCCUUUCACAUAGCUUAAUUAUCAUAGGCUUAGGUUCAUAAUCACCAUUUCUUUUAACGCUUUAACUAAGUAAACUUGAAUGCAACAUU
This 633-nucleotide long non-coding RNA is filed under the name Malus domestica (apple). Its description in RNAcentral is "long non-coding RNA (MDOM_LNC003211)". Lineage: Eukaryota; Viridiplantae; Streptophyta; Magnoliopsida; Rosales; Rosaceae. The record is from RNAcentral.